This 434-nucleotide ribosomal RNA is filed under the name uncultured Ruminococcus sp. Its description in RNAcentral is "partial 16S ribosomal RNA". It matches the Rfam family "Bacterial small subunit ribosomal RNA", at positions 341 to 792 of the family's 1533-position model. Lineage: Bacteria; Bacillati; Bacillota; Clostridia; Eubacteriales; Oscillospiraceae. The record is from RNAcentral.
ACGGAAGGCAGCAGUGGGGGAUAUUGCACAAUGGGGGAAACCCUGAUGCAGCGACGCCGCGUGAGUGAAGAAGUAUUUCGGUAUGUAAAGCUCUAUCAGCAGGGAAGAAAAUGACGGUACCUGACUAAGAAGCUCCGGCUAAAUACGUGCCAGCAGCCGCGGUAGUACGUAUGGAGCAAGCGUUAUCCGGAUUUACUGGGUGUAAAGGGAGCGUAGACGGCGAGGCAAGUCUGAUGUGAAAGCUAUGGGCUCAACCCAUAAACUGCAUUGGAAACUGUCUUGCUUGAGUGUCGGAGAGGUAAGCGGAAUUCCUAGUGUAGCGGUGAAAUGCGUAGAUAUUAGGAGGAACACCAGUGGCGAAGGCGGCUUACUGGACGAUAACUGACGUUGAGGCUCGAAAGCGUGGGGAGCAAACAGGAUUAGAUACCCUGGUA